Glycine soja is the source of this 1178-nucleotide long non-coding RNA. RefSeq lists it as uncharacterized. The transcript has 9 exons. The record is from RefSeq and is a predicted model, not a curated record. Lineage: Eukaryota; Viridiplantae; Streptophyta; Magnoliopsida; Fabales; Fabaceae.
GACGACAGUUUAUAUUCCCCAAUAACCGGACCAAACACACAGUCCAAAUCCUUUGAGCCCUAAUUUCUCAAAUCAUAACCUUUCACUCCAUCGCUCCAACCCCUAAUUCCUAUCAACGCUUUUGCUGUCGUCGCUCGCCAGGGUUUUGAUUGAGAUUUGUUCUGCACGGGUUCGAAGAACAAGUAGUUAGAGAAAGAUGCUAGAGAAUCUUCAGGUUCCUCCGUCGACAACGGAAUCGGCCCCAGUGCUGAAGCGCUAUGCUCCACCCAACCAGAGAACGUUUCUGCUAACAGGCGCAAAUCAUUUGGAAAUCCUGUAUGAUAUUUGCAGAUUUCUUUAAAAAGCUGCAAGUAAGUUUGUACUUCGAUCUCUGCCUCUGGCAUAAAUGAUGCAGUAUCAGAUGUUAAGAAUGAGAUAGCACAACAUCUGGUUAAUUUGGAAGUUUCUAACUUUAGCAUGGCUCCGGUCAAGAGGAAAUUGAAUGGGCCUUAAACUCGGGAACAUCGGUGAAUAAUACUUGGGUGCGCUUGAGCUUUUUUUGAUUAAAAGAAAGAUAAAGGGUCCUUCAUGGCUACAGGUUUCAAACUUUUCUCCAAGCUCAGCUUCUUGAAGGGUUAGCUGGUGCAAAUUUGAAGUGACUGUUGACUCUCCUAAACAAAUAAUAUUGACACUCCUAUGAUGGCUUUAGAGUGUGGAGGAGAACUGAAAGGCUGACCCGUUUUACUAUUGUUCGUAAACUUGAUGGGAUUAUAUUUCCGAUGGGGUUCAGCAAGGAGGUUACAGACAGAAACUUACAAGCGGGUUCAAAUAUUCUGUGUGCUGAAAGCAGGUAGAGACACUAAAAGAUGGCUUGUGCUUAUUUGCAUGACCAUAUGUUAUUCUUUGAGUUUGAAUAUGUUAUCUAAAAAUUGUGAAACUUUUCUCGGAAAUUGUGAUUGCUUCUAGGCUUGACAUAGAUCUUUUGAGUUUGUUUUCAGUGAAAGAGCUCUGUUGAACCGCUUCAUGUUAGAAUUGCACAAGUUGGAUAGUGAUGUUCUUGUUGGACACAAUAUUUCUGGAUUUGACCUGGAUGUUCUUCUCCACAGAUUCCAAGUUGGAAUUUUGGCUUUUCCUCAAACAAUUUCUUGUCAAUUUCUUGUUAACAAAUUAAUAUUUAAUAAUUUUAAAAAUAUCACAUA